UUGACCUCAAAUCAGGUGGGACUACCCGCUGAACUUAAGCAUAUCAAUAAGCGGAGGAAAAGAAACUAACAAGGAUUCCCCUAGUAACUGCGAGUGAAGCGGGAAAAGCUCAAAUUUAAAAUCUGGCGGUCUCCGGCCGUCCGAGUUGUAGUCUGGAGAAGCGUUUUCCGCGUUGGACCGUGUACAAGUUUCCUGGAACGGAGCGUCAUAGAGGGUGAGAAUCCCGUCUUUGACACGGACCCCAAUGCUUUGUGAUGCGCUCUCAAAGAGUCGAGUUGUUUGGGAAUGCAGCUCAAAAUGGGUGGUGAAUUCCAUCUAAAGCUAAAUAUUGGCGAGAGACCGAUAGCGAACAAGUACCGUGAGGGAAAGAUGAAAAGCACUUUGGAAAGAGAGUUAAACAGUACGUGAAAUUGUUGAAAGGGAAACGCUUGAAGUCAGUCGCGUCGGCCGGGACUCAGCCUUGCAUUCGCUUGGUGUACUUUCCGGUCGACGGGCCAGCAUCAGUUUUGACCGCGAGACAAAGGCGGAGGGAAUGUGGCUCUUUCGGGAGUGUUAUAGCCCUUCGUCGCAUGUCGCGGACGGGACUGAGGACCGCAGCACGCCUUUAUGGCCGGGGUUCGCCCACGUACGUGCUUAGGAUGCUGGCGUAAUGGCUUUAAACGACCMGUCUUGAAACACGGACCAAGGAGUCUAACAUGCCUGCGAGUGUUCGGGUGGAAAACCCGUGCGCGUAAUGAAAGUGAAAGUUGGGAUCCCUGUCGUGGGGUGCACCGACGCCCGGACCAGACCUUUUGUGACGGAUCUGCGGUAGAGCAUGUAUGUUGGGACCCGAAAGAUGGUGAACUAUGCCUGAAUAGGGUGAAGCCAGAGGAAACUCUGGUGGAGGCUCGUAGCGAUUCUGACGUGCAAAUCGAUCGUCAAAUUUGGGUAUAGGGGCGAAAGACUAAUCGAACCAUCUAGUAGCUG
Molecule: ribosomal RNA, 966 nt
Filed under: Gloeomyces graminicola
Lineage: Eukaryota; Fungi; Basidiomycota; Agaricomycetes; Russulales; Stereaceae
Description: eukaryotic LSU rRNA
Rfam family: Eukaryotic large subunit ribosomal RNA
Source: RNAcentral